Molecule: small RNA, 26 nt
Filed under: Bombyx mori (domestic silkworm)
Lineage: Eukaryota; Metazoa; Arthropoda; Insecta; Lepidoptera; Bombycidae
Description: ovarian small RNA-24040
Source: RNAcentral
UAUGUGGGACUUGACGAUCUGCAAGG